RNAcentral lists this ribosomal RNA (224 nucleotides) under uncultured bacterium. Its description in RNAcentral is "partial 16S ribosomal RNA". It matches the Rfam family "Bacterial small subunit ribosomal RNA", at positions 943 to 1167 of the family's 1533-position model. The record is from RNAcentral.
GGUUUAAUUCGAUGCAACGCGAAGAACCUUACCUAGGCUUGAAAUGCUUAUGACCGGUUGUGAAAGCAACCUUCCGGCAACGGCAUAAGCACAGGUGCUGCAUGGCUGUCGUCAGCUCGUGCCGUGAGGUGUUGGGUUAAGUCCCGCAACGAGCGCAACCCUUACCAUUAGUUGCCACCGGAGCAAUCCGAGCACUCUAAUGGAACUGCCUACGCAAGUAGUGA